CCAUCAUCGGCUCCUUCUAUCCGUGUAAGCUCGUGGCAGAGGAACGGCUCUGCCUCAGCCCACCUCAUUUGAGCCAUUGAAUUGUUGCUGACACAUUUUUUCGGGGUGAGGCAUUUCCGACGGCAGUGGUUUGCAUUUGGGAAUGGAGGGAUUUAUGGCCGCCAGCGGCCCAGAGCUCCGGGCAUCGGCGUCGGCAUCCAACGCCGGCUCUUCCUGCACAUCGCAUUAGCCAGACGUUGGCAUCAGUCACUGGAGACGUCGCGGCGGAAGGCAGUGCCCUCAAAAGGCUGGAAAACCGAUUUGCACAUGCGUUUCCAGGGAGUUUAUCAAGAUGUUGUAAUGUUUCCUGCGGCUCCUCACAGUGCUGCCCAUGGUGAUAGAUGCCACCAUGGGAAGGAGGGAGACAAAUCCUGUGGGGAAACGCUGGGAGAAAGAAUCCAGGCUCCACGGAGGCUGCUGCCAGUUCAGGGUGAAGUCCUCAAGUCCAUCUGUUUUACCCAGAGGAGAUUAAGGGACCUGUGAUCGACAUGAGUGUUCCUGGUCGGCCAGCCUGAGCAGCACCUUAGCAAACCUCAGCUUUCCCAUCUGACAUGAAAAAACCACACCACGUGGACUCGAUCUAUCUUAUCCUGCUAAAAAUCCCAGGGAAGUUUUCCCUCAUCUCCUCCAAUGCCAGUCCUUGCUUCCUGGCCUGGGCACUCCAGAUUGUGGCAGUGUUGUAGCCUCAGUUACUGCAUCUCUGUCAUGAUAUUACUGCUCCAUUUGGGUACAGGGGUGACAGCAGAACGAGUCCAAAGGAGAUUAUAUAAAUAAAGAGCAGCAAGGAGGAAUUUCUGCA
Molecule: long non-coding RNA, 838 nt
Filed under: Chloebia gouldiae (Gouldian finch)
Lineage: Eukaryota; Metazoa; Chordata; Aves; Passeriformes; Passeridae
Description: Erythrura gouldiae (Gouldian finch) lncRNA (ENSEGOG00005011997.1)
Source: RNAcentral